UACAUGGGGUGCAAACGUUGCUCGGAAUCAUUGGGCGUAAAGCGCGCGUAGGCGGUUACUUAAGUCGAAUGUGAAAGCCCUCGGCUUAACCGAGGAAGUGCAUCCGAAACUGAGUAGCUAGAGUACGAAAGAGGGUCGCGGAAUUCCCGGUGUAGAGGUGAAAUUCGUAGAUAUCGGGAGGAACACCGGUGGCGAAGGCGGCGACCUGGGUAGAUACUGACGCUGAGGCGCGAAAGCGUGGGGAGCAAACAGG
This 253-nucleotide ribosomal RNA is filed under the name uncultured bacterium. RNAcentral describes it as "partial 16S ribosomal RNA". It matches the Rfam family "Bacterial small subunit ribosomal RNA", at positions 524 to 776 of the family's 1533-position model. The record is from RNAcentral.